GUCCCUAUAGCUCAGAUGGAUAGAGCAUCUGCCUUCUAAGCAGAAAGUCGGCUGUUCGAAUCAGCCUAGGGACGCCA
This 77-nucleotide transfer RNA is filed under the name Candidatus Omnitrophota bacterium. RNAcentral's name for it is "Candidatus Omnitrophica bacterium tRNA-Arg". It matches the Rfam family "tRNA". Rfam says of the family: Transfer RNA (tRNA) molecules are approximately 80 nucleotides in length. Lineage: Bacteria; Pseudomonadati; Candidatus Omnitrophota. The record is from RNAcentral.